AGUGAACGCUGGCGGUAGGCCUAACACAUGCAAGUCGAACGGCAGCACAGUAAGAGCUUGCUCUUACGGGUGGCGAGUGGCGGACGGGUGAGGAAUACAUCGGAAUCUACUUUUUCGUGGGGGAUAACGUAGGGAAACUUACGCUAAUACCGCAUACGACCUACGGGUGAAAGCAGGGGAUCUUCGGACCUUGCGCGAUUGAAUGAGCCGAUGUCGGAUUAGCUGGUUGGCGGGGUAAAGGCCCACCAAGGCGGCGAUCCGUAGCUGGUGUGAGAGGAUGGUCAGCCACACUGGAACUGAGACACGGUCCAGACUCCUACGGGAGGCAGCAGUGGGGAAUAUUGGACAAUGGGCGCAAGCCUGAUCCAGCCAUACCGCGUGGGUGAAGAAGGCCUUCGGGUUGUAAAGCCCUUUUGUUGGGAAAGAAAAGCAGCAGGUUAAUACCCCGCUGUUCUGACGGUGCCCAAAGAAUAAGCACCGGCUAACUUCGUG
RNAcentral lists this ribosomal RNA (492 nucleotides) under uncultured bacterium. Its description in RNAcentral is "partial 16S ribosomal RNA". It matches the Rfam family "Bacterial small subunit ribosomal RNA", at positions 29 to 507 of the family's 1533-position model. The record is from RNAcentral.